This 134-nucleotide small nucleolar RNA is filed under the name Catagonus wagneri (Chacoan peccary). Its description in RNAcentral is "Small nucleolar RNA SNORA41 (ENSCWAG00000020793.1)". It matches the Rfam family "Small nucleolar RNA SNORA41". Rfam says of the family: ACA41 is a member of the H/ACA class of snoRNA that guide the sites of modification of uridines to pseudouridines. The record is from Rfam by way of RNAcentral. Lineage: Eukaryota; Metazoa; Chordata; Mammalia; Artiodactyla; Tayassuidae.
UUCCACAGCUACUGGUCUGCAGCUGUUCUUAGGUAGCAACUGCAGCAUUCCUCUGUGGGAAAAAAAAGAUGUUACACAAAUAAACACCACUUUCUUAGCCAAACAGAAAGUGGGCAUGUGUGUGACAAACACAA